UUGAGCUUGAUCCUGGCUCAGGACGAACGCUGGCGGCGUGCCUAAUACAUGCAAGUCGAGCGGACUUCUUAAAAGCUUGCUUUUAAGAAGUCAGCGGCGGACGGGUGAGUAACACGUGGGCAACCUGCCUGUAAGACUGGGAUAACUUCGGGAAACCGGAGCUAAUACCGGAUAAUAUAAGGAACCUCCUGGUUCUUUAUUGAAAGAUGGUUUCGGCUAUCACUUACAGAUGGGCCCGCGGCGCAUUAGCUAGUUGGUGAGGUAAUGGCUCACCAAGGCGACGAUGCGUAGCCGACCUGAGAGGGUGAUCGGCCACACUGGGACUGAGACACGGCCCAGACUCCUACGGGAGGCAGCAGUAGGGAAUCUUCCACAAUGGACGAAAGUCUGAUGGAGCAACGCCGCGUGAGCGAUGAAGGCCUUCGGGUCGUAAAGCUCUGUUGUUAGGGAAGAACAAGUGCGAGAGUAACUGCUCGCACCUGACGGUACCUACC
This 494-nucleotide ribosomal RNA is filed under the name Bacillus sp. M10-C6. RNAcentral describes it as "bacterial SSU rRNA". It matches the Rfam family "Bacterial small subunit ribosomal RNA", at positions 1 to 483 of the family's 1533-position model. The record is from RNAcentral. Lineage: Bacteria; Bacillati; Bacillota; Bacilli; Caryophanales; Bacillaceae.